UAACCCUGGUAGUCCACGCUGUAAACGAUGUCGACUUGGAGGUUGUGCCCUUGAGGCGUGGCUUCCGGAGCUAACGCGUUAAGUCGACCGCCUGGGGAGUACGGCCGCAAGGUUAAAACUCAAAUGAAUUGACGGGGGCCCGCACAAGCGGUGGAGCAUGUGGUUUAAUUCGAUGCAACGCGAAGAACCUUACCUACUCUUGACAUCCACGGAAUUCGCCAGAGAUGGCUUAGUGCCUUCGGGAACCGUGAGACAGGUGCUGCAUGGCUGUCGUCAGCUCGUGUUGUGAAAUGUUGGGUUAAGUCCCGCAACGAGCGCAACCCUUAUCCUUUGUUGCCAGCACGUAAUGGUGGGAACUCAAAGGAGACUGCCGGUGAUAAACCGGAGGAAGGUGGGGAUGACGUCAAGUCAUCAUGGCCCUUACGAGUAGGGCUACACACGUGCUACAAUGGCAUAUACAAAGAGAAGCGAACUCGCGAGAGCAAGCGGACCUCAUAAAGUAUGUCGUAGUCCGGAUUGGAGUCUGCAACUCGACUCCAUGAAGUCGGAAUCGCUAGUAAUCGUAGAUCAGAAUGCUACGGUGAAUACGUUCCCGGGCCUUGUACACACCGCCCGUCACACCAUGGGAGUGGGUUGCAAAAGAAGUAGGUAGCUUAAC
RNAcentral lists this ribosomal RNA (658 nucleotides) under bacterium sp. R2A-47. RNAcentral's name for it is "bacterial SSU rRNA". It matches the Rfam family "Bacterial small subunit ribosomal RNA", at positions 782 to 1439 of the family's 1533-position model. The record is from RNAcentral.